CUGCAUACCAGUAGACCUUACCUGGUUCUUCUAAUAGCCAGACGAGGGGGAUGGUGCAUGCUACAAGAACCUGGGGUUGCUGUAGGCUGUGAUCAGCCUCGACGACGUGGCUGAUUGAACUGCAAUACUCCAACAUAC
RNAcentral lists this small nucleolar RNA (138 nucleotides) under Cathartes aura (turkey vulture). RNAcentral's name for it is "Small nucleolar RNA SNORA58". It matches the Rfam family "Small nucleolar RNA SNORA58". Rfam says of the family: ACA52 is a member of the H/ACA class of snoRNA that guide the sites of modification of uridines to pseudouridines. Lineage: Eukaryota; Metazoa; Chordata; Aves; Accipitriformes; Cathartidae. The record is from Rfam by way of RNAcentral.